Molecule: RNA transcript, 5399 nt
Organism: Anarrhichthys ocellatus (wolf-eel)
Lineage: Eukaryota; Metazoa; Chordata; Actinopteri; Perciformes; Anarhichadidae
Gene: c1qtnf1
Gene name: C1q and TNF related 1
Exons: 3
Source: RefSeq, a predicted model, not a curated record
UCUAUUAUACUCCUCCACUUGUUUGGAGGAGCAAGACUUUAUGGCUGACAUUGUUCUGUGUGGGAGGAGAUAAAGAAUGACCUGAGGACGGGACAGACGGGACAACAACCUAACAAAGACACAAACUAAGGGGGAAGACAGACACUUUUCAGAGGAGAACUACUGGAGACUAUAACAACAAAAGAACACUGUUCUUGUGUAUUGUAGAUGACCACAACCUGUGUGAUGGCCUUGCUGCUCCUCUGGGCCUGUCCAGUGGACCCCUACCGGACCCACUCUGAUGAGAGAAAAGAUCCAGAACCCAGUCGGGACCAAAUGGGCACAAAGAACCACCAUCAAGAUGCCAGAGUUCUGGAGGGAGGAGCUCAGUGCCCAGCAGCAGUGUCUCCUUCUCCGCCCAGGAGCAGAGCUUUGCCCGCUGGGAGCCAACACCGUCACCCAGCUGCUGGAGGCCCAGGCCGUAUUGCUGGGCCAGCUGGAGGAAAGGAUGGACCCUGUUGGACUCUGCUGCCAUAAAAUAAGAGGUGAAGUUCCUCCAUUAUAACUUUAAGAUAAUAAAAAAGAAUUCUUGAUUCAUUACGUCAUUACAUUAGUAAAACCGUAAAGGAAAAAUAACCACCUUUUAUGUGGAUGUCCUAUUAGUGCUGAGGGUAAAUGUAAUCCACUGAAGAAAUAAAUUCCCCUGUGAGCGCAGAUAGCUGAUCUCUGUUGCGGAGCCGUGCCAGCUGUGCCUACAUGUACCAGGAUGCAUUGGGCACGAGCUGCGAUAUAAUUUCGUCUUAUAUUAUUACACCUAAACAGAAAAAUACGACCGUGAACUUUCUGAAUUCAAGUUUUUCUCUUACAGUGAAUUAAGACAGGGUUUCUUGCCUUGUUAACUCACCAUAAAACAAAUUUAAUUUAACCUGGACAGAAACAAAAUGAAACUUUUUGUCGUUGGCGACAGCAAUAAAAUAAAAUACAAUGACAUUCGUUACCUCAGAAUGAUUCCGUUUGGCCAACUUGAGCAAAGUUGGCCAGUCACCAGUCUGUGUUUUCUCGCUGCAGCUCAGGUUCUGGAGGGUCCCCGUCAGCCAUGUCCCCCCCGCUGCAGCUGCAGCCUUGAGUGAAUAUGGCUGAAUAUUGAAGUCGGUGAUUAAAACCACCCAAGUCGUGUAAAAUUUACACUGUGUAAUGAUUACAGACAAACAAAUCCUCGAUCAUAACAUCCUCACUUAUAUUUUGGGAUGCCAUUUUCACAAGCGAGUUAUUUUUUUGAGUGGCAUUGCGCUCCACAGCUACCAAAACUGGGAGUAGCACUCUGUAAUACUUCCUCACCCCAAGUACGUCACUGGGAUGAGGAAGGAUUACAUAUUUUACAGCUGUGCCCCAGAGACACAAAGAACAUCAGUAACAACUGCGGGCGGAUACUGUACAGCUAACUCGGAUAAGUAAACAUAAGGUUGAACUGCGUAGUGUAGAGGGUUUGGAUACAGGAUAACUCAAUGACUGCAGGGCUGCUUGCCGAACGUAAACACAUGAAAUAAACUUUCGUGAAUACAUACUGUACAAACUCUUGCAAGAGUUUUACACAAGACAGAUCCUUUCUAGCCGUAAUCCUGUAGUCUGGUUGGACAACAGUGCCCAAAUAAUUCUGCAUAGCUUGCCAGGCAGCAGCACAGUGAACAGGUUGGGUCUGGGUGGGUUUUGUCUUUUAAUAUUCUUUUAGCUCUUCUUAGGCUCUUCUUCUCACCAAUAUCACUGAUGCUCAGUAGAUGGUACCAAUGAUGUUCUGGGUGGUUUUAAUCACCUGCUGUUGAGCCCUCCUGUCCUGUGCCAUACACAUCCCAUCUUAGUUUGUAAUGUUUGCAGUCAGGAUGCUUUCUAUUGGUCCUCUAUGAAAGUUAACAAAAACUUGUCACAAGGACAUUUUUCCUUCUUAAGUUUCCUUUAGAAAUGCAGCAGUUAAUGAGCUUUCUUCACCAGGAUUGAGAUGUGUGAUAAGCAUGUCAGGUUGUUUGUGAUGCUGAUUCCCAGGAACUUAAAGCUGUUUACUUGCUCCACCUCAGCUCCAUUAAUGAAGACAGAGGUGGGCGUCUUUGCCUCCUUUUUUCUAAAAUCAACAGGAGGUGCUGAAGAAGAUUUGAAGAAUAUUAGACUAAAAAGAGUUAUACAAGUUUGAACUUAAAUCAGAAAGACAAAAGCUUCCGUAUGACUUGCAUGCCUUGGUUUGGUUGUACUGUAUGUAAAGGAGUAGGGAGGUGAGGGAGUGUCAACGAUGCUGCGACCCAGGAGAGGAGAGUCCCCAUAAGUACCAGCACUACCCACAGUACCAGAUAGUACCACAGAUCAACAUUACUCUGCUCAAAGGUAAGCCAUAUUUAAUACAAUAUUGGACUUGUGUUGGUUUCUGAAAGCUCAUACUGAUAUUUACAGCAUUUUGAAUUGAAGCUGCUGACGGUGACAGACAGUAUUUUUUAAUUUGAUUAAUUCUAAUUAGUAAAGUCCUCGCUAUAUUUCAAAGGCCUGUCGGAACAAUAAAGCCUUCAAAUCUUAUUUCUGUCAGUGCUCAAUAACUUCAUAUUGCCGCACCAUAUUUAUAAAUACAGUAUUUAGACUAUAACAAGACACAAAUAAAGCUGCUCUCAACUCAAACCAAUAAAAAUAUAAAUAUCUUUGACUUUAUCAUCAUUUUAAGGCAGUGCUUGACCACCCCUGUGCUGCAGACUGGUACUGAAAUAUUUUUUUACAGGGACACAAGGAAACCAUAUGAUUCAGCAAAAUAGCUGAAUAAUAAUAACUUUGUCCUAUUUGUGUGGUAAAUAACUUGCCAUAGCUUACAUCUUUCCUCAUCUUUCAAAGGAAGUAAAGGAGACAAAAUAUCUGUGUGUUUACGUCAGUAGUGUCUCAAUAAACUCUAAUAAAUAAAUAAAUAAAUGGAAAUAGGACAAUGUAAAAUGGACAAAAAGCCACAUUUACAGAUUUUUUUCUUUUAAAUGGAUAUGAAUUUCUGUCCAAACCACUAGAACGCAAAAACAACUAGCCAGCCCUGUAGGUGGUGAUAAAGGCUACGUCAACAAUACAUCAAAUACCAGAGAAGAAAAUUCCGAGCAUGCUCAGUGAGCUUAUUUUCCUUUGGGUUGUUAACAAAAAAACAACAGUAAAGCAAUAGCUAAAUAUUUCUUCAUUUAUACAUACUUGAUAUUUGGUGCCAAGGCGAUAGUUGUUGUUGAAGUAAACCAUCUGUUAUGUUAAGACGUCAUCGUUUCCCAUACACUCCGUUUUACCCGUCCUCACAGAUACAUGGUAAUAACUCUACACCUUAAAAGGCAUUUUCAAAAAUAUCUGUUUUAGUGACGUAAAACUCCGUUUGCAAAUGGAAGAGAGGCCAAAAUGUAGAGGAAAAUAUCCUUUUUUUUAAAUGUGUGCCUGUCAACAGGGCCUAAAUUACAAGUUCAGACAGAAAUAAAGGUUUUUGUUGCUUAUUUAAAUUUUCACUUUGGGACUUCUCAUCACAACCAUUCCACUACCGAUUAAAGACAAAACUGACAAGUGGUAGGUAGGAGAGGUUUCACUAGCAAGGACCACACCAUCAAAUAGAAGCGUUUAACAGAUUUAUUGAAGGUAAACGUGAUUGAGAUGCGAGGCUUGAGCUUCGUGUAGCUCGUCCGGUUAGUCGAAUGAGUUGUGGGGAAGCUUCGAUAGGGAAUCCGCUGUAGCACUCGGGCAUGGCGAACCCCCAAAACCCCAUGUUACUUGAGACUAGAUUGACCCAAGUACAGGUCAUUACGAUGUGGGUGAAUGUAGUGGAGGUAGCUAUUUGUCCAAGCUCUACGAAAGAAGGGGACAUCAUUAAUCGAAGUGAUGGUAUAAGGCGGGGAACUCUGAACAUGAGGCAGGCAAAAAAAACGGGCAAAAAUGUAACUUCUAAGGUUCGAGCAAUGUGAGGAUUAUUGCAUCAAAUAGCGGCGUGGAUUUUUUGAACAGGCUCUUUGCGCAGAAGACCUGUGACAGUGAUGUUAUGGAAUAGGUUAGAUAGUAGGGUGUGCUGGAGGCCGGGCUCGGGUUACUCCACAAGAGUUUAGAGAAGUCUAUUCCACAUAGGUAUGUUUGAGUGUCUAUGGAUAUCAAGGAAUGGGCCGAGGUAACGAAAACGGGUCAUUGAACAAGAUUGAACGACGGGACUGUUAUGAUGUACUGGUUGCGUCCAGGAAGUAGUGGAAACUCUUUUCCGAAGCUGACCCUGUGAACAAAAAGGUUAAAGGAGAUAGGUUAUCGAUGAUGGAGUUCUGCUGAUCGAUGAUCGGCACAAUCAAGGUAGGCUUUAUGAGUUUAACGACAGCGUUGAAUAUGGCGAAACAGAUGUUGGACAGGUGUCUGCAAGAGGGCGGAUCUUCUGAACUUCUGGAAUGAGAAACGAGAAAGCAAUGGCGUUGCAGUGGCCCAGACAUGAGUUGCAUCGAGAACGCACUGGUAAGUAGGAGGGUGUCGCGCCGCCCUUUAAUGAUUAGGUAAAUUAUUGCUAGGUUGUCAGGAGUUAAGAGAUGGACUUGCUGGGCCAUUUGUGGCCCCACGGAAUGGCUGCGGCUAGAGUGAAGGGAAAACGACUUGGCAUUUGCCUGCGAGGUCCAAGGGCUGAUCUACAGCAAAACAUCUUCUGUCAUGGAAACCCCCAAAAACCGGCAGAGGGAGCGGCAUUGUUGUAUGGACCAAUUUUGUGGGUCCGUCGCUGGAAGUAAAUGGCGGGGGGGCACUGGCGUCGCUGCCAGGUGUCCUGGCUAUGGCAACUUGCUAUGGUUGCAGAGUGUAUUUGGCUUCUGGAGGGAUACUGAACUACUUGACUCAGCUAGAAUAAACUAAGUAUAUUGUUCUUGCUUUUACAAGUUGCUAUUAGCUGUACCUGGGCUGCUUCAGUGUUAAUGCUUUUGCAGUCUAUGUUUGUGUAAGGUAGAUGUGAUCUAGUUUCACUUGGUCAAUUGCCCUGUUAAAUGCCAGGGGAGUGGCUUGCACUCCUGGCAGACAAUGGUGGUUAGAAGCGUCAGCUUCCAAGCAUCGGGCAAACAAAAGCUAGGGCGAACGAAGGCAACAGGGCGACUUUUUCAAGCCAGAGUUCGUCAAGCAAAGACUUCUCGAGCGUGUACUUGCAGGUCAGUAAUCUGUUUAUAUUGACUACCACGUAGACAUUGGGUCACUCCCAGGUGCCGUGACCCUACUAACCUCAUCUAUCCUACUCUCUCAGCUCAUGGCGAGCAUGGUGGCAGGGGGGGCUUUGGAAUUGCCAGUCGGCAGUGCCGAAAGUUGUCUUCAUCUCAGGCUAUGUAUGCAUCCUUGCUCUCCCUCAACUUUUUUGCUUUAAGACCUGGAUCACACCAGAAAACACUACCACACCCACAGCUCUGUCAGAUGUGUACUCUUUCUCU